Molecule: ribosomal RNA, 507 nt
Filed under: uncultured fungus
Lineage: Eukaryota; Fungi
Description: SSU rRNA
Rfam family: Eukaryotic small subunit ribosomal RNA
Source: RNAcentral
AGCAGCCGCGGUAAUUCCAGCUCCAAUAGCGUAUAUUAAAGUUGCUGCAGUUAAAAAGCUCGUAGUUGAAUUUCGGGACUAAUAUGUCGGUCGUGCCUCGGUACGUACUGGUAUUUUUGGUUUCUCCCUUCUGACGAACCUUGAUGUCAUUAAUUUGGUGUCUUGGGGAAUCAGGACUGUUACCUUGAAAAAAUUAGAGUGUUUAAAGCAGGCUCACGCUUGAAUACAUUAGCAUGGAAUAAUGAAAUAGGACGUUUGAUUCUAUUUUGUUGGUUUCUAGGAUCGACGUAAUGAUUAAUAGGGAUAGUUGGGGGCAUUAGUAUUCAAUUGUCAGAGGUGAAAUUCUUGGAUUUAUUGAAGACUAACUACUGCGAAAGCAUUUGCCAAGGAUGUUUUCAUUAAUCAAGAACGAAAGUUAGGGGAUCGAAGACGAUCAGAUACCGUCGUAGUCUUAACCAUAAACUAUGCCGACUAGGGAUCGNANGAUGUUAAUUUUUUAAUGACUCA